ACUUUAGCAUACCUAGUGGCGGAUUCCCCUUUCUUCUAUUCUAGCUCCUCUUUCUGGAGAAAGAAAGUCCAGUUAUAGAAGAGUAGUGCUCGAAGGAAUUCCUUCAGGUUUUCGAGCUAUGUGUUCCAAUUCAUUAAGUAGUUUGAGAUUUACCAAUUCUAACGUCUGCUCGUGAGGGGUUAAUAGUUUCUGGUUGGAGGAGAAAGCAGCCUAGAUAAGAAUAC
Molecule: long non-coding RNA, 224 nt
Filed under: Amborella trichopoda
Lineage: Eukaryota; Viridiplantae; Streptophyta; Magnoliopsida; Amborellales; Amborellaceae
Description: long non-coding RNA (ATRI_LNC000681)
Source: RNAcentral